UACAGAGGGGGCAAGCGUUGUUCGGAAUUACUGGGCGUAAAGGGCGCGUAGGCGGCCUUCUAAGUCGAACGUGAAAUCCCCGGGCUCAACCCGGGAACUGCGUCCGAUACUGGAAGGCUUGAAUCCGGGAGAGGGAUGCGGAAUUCCAGGUGUAGCGGUGAAAUGCGUAGAUAUCUGGAGGAACACCCGUGGCGAAGGCGGCACUCUGGGACGGUACUGACGCUGAGACGCGAAAGCGUGGGGAGCGAACAGG
RNAcentral lists this ribosomal RNA (253 nucleotides) under uncultured bacterium. RNAcentral describes it as "partial 16S ribosomal RNA". It matches the Rfam family "Bacterial small subunit ribosomal RNA", at positions 524 to 776 of the family's 1533-position model. The record is from RNAcentral.